Long non-coding RNA from Schistocerca americana (American grasshopper), 1390 nucleotides. RefSeq lists it as uncharacterized. The transcript is spliced from 2 exons. Lineage: Eukaryota; Metazoa; Arthropoda; Insecta; Orthoptera; Acrididae. The record is from RefSeq and is a predicted model, not a curated record.
GUAGUUCACCAAUAUAAGCUUUUCCAACACAUAUUGUCAUCUCAGAAAUGUUCAACAACACUACCUUUCUCAAAAUCGCCCGUUUCUCAAGAGUUCUCAAGACUCACUGUCUUUUAUACUCACCAAAACGCGACUGUCCGUUAGCCUCGCCCAGCAAACUGUUUCUGCAUCAACAAUCAAAGACCUUGCAAAGCACACAGGUUUGCCAACAUGAAUUUAGCAUAGAUAUUUUAUACAUCACACGUACACACUUAUGAAAACAGUACGAAAAUUGAAGAGAGUUCUCAAAUAUUUCUGCACCAAUACAUAAUACGAUUGUCUUGCAAAUUAUUAGUUUUUGUAAUGAAAUGAUAAUAUUUCAAUUUAUGUUGACAUAAUUAAAAUCACUGUAAUUUUAUAUUAAUAUAAUUGUUUUUACAUGUCGAUUCACGGCACCGCAUAGCUCGCCCGCCGAUGGUAUCGAUAGUUUCAGUAGUCCGUUACAUUACAUGGUGCACAAACAAGGUGAUAAACGAUUACAUAACUUUGUACGUAGGUGCGAUGCUGAAGCGAAGUGUCCUGGCUGGCUGCACCUGAUGUAAUGGGCUGAAACUGGAGCGGAGCCCGUAGAGCUCUCCCACUCCGGCUAGAGUGUGCUGUCGUCGGUGACUCGUAGUGCCAACUUGAGAAACUAUUCUGUGGCAUCGUUGCUAUCGAUACCACAACAGGAACAGCAACUAAACUUAAAUGAGACUUCAGGAGCACUGUCAUUUGUGUAUUCAACACUAAAACAGAUGAGUAACAAUUUAAAUAAGAUUAAUACAUAACAUUGUGGUUGUGUGUCAAAAGGCCUAUCUAUUACGCAAGAAAAAAGUCUUAUAUUUGAGUACGGUGUACUAUCAGUGGAUGAAUUACUCAAAAAAUGAAGCACUGCAGACCUACAAAGACAAUUCUUGUUAACAGGAUAUGUUAGUGUUAAAUUAUAUCUGUCAAUUACAAAAGCAGUCUUUGUUUGAGAAAGUUAACAACUAAAUAGUUAUAUGCAUAAUGCUCAGCAUUACAGGUACAUACUAAAGCAGAGGUUAAAGAGCUGUUGCAUACUAUGAAGUGUUGUUUCUGAAAUAUUAUUACUAUUACAUUAAGAUUGUUUUAAGAAUAAAUUCCACAGUACACUGUAAAGUUCUCAUGUAUCUGCAACCUUAUUGGAAACAUACAAAUCUUAUAAAUGUAGCAACUGAAUAAAGUUACUAAAUGUAAGUUUGAACUGUCCCAAAAGUUAUAAAAAUCAUUCUCAAAUUUUUAUAGCAAAUAUCUGUUAUUUAAGACACUUGAAAUGAUUGUAUUAAUAUGAUCUGGUGUGUAUAUGUUAAAAUACAUGAAAAUAAACAUUUUCUGUAUUAUUGUUCAUAUA